Helianthus annuus (common sunflower) is the source of this 1045-nucleotide long non-coding RNA. RefSeq lists it as uncharacterized. The record is from RefSeq and is a predicted model, not a curated record. The transcript is spliced from 5 exons. Lineage: Eukaryota; Viridiplantae; Streptophyta; Magnoliopsida; Asterales; Asteraceae.
CUUUUCAACAUCAAAUCUCAAAAUCUGGCCAUUCUCUCUUAAGAAACCCUACAAACUCAUCAAAGCCCAAAUCCAGAUCCAUCACGGUACCAAGAAGACCACGCUAAUUCCUGGAUCUCUCAUUUCUUAUCCGCAAUUCCUGGAUCUCUCAUUUCUUAUCCGCCUCCAUCUACACUCUCUCUUCAAAUCCCAAAAAAUCUCAUCUCAAAACACUCACUGUGCAAGACACCAGCGGGUCCGUUUCUACUGCCGUUGAUUCGACUACAUCUAUGGCCCGGUCUAAGGUGAGGCGCUACACGAUUUCAGUGUUUAUUGGUGACGAAAGUGGAAUGAUAAAUCGGAUUGUAGGAGUCUUUGCAAGGAGAGGGUAUAAUAUCGAGUAACUUGCUGUUGGUUUAAACAAGGACGAAGCUCUUUUUACUAUAGUUGUAUCUGGGACUGAAAGCUUGUUAAUGUUUUAAAGGUUGAAUAUAUUUCAAAGGAGCCGCAAGAACGUGAGUUGAUGCUCAUCAAGAUAAAUGCAGAUCCAAGAUAUAGUUUAGAGAGAAAGCUAUAACCAUCGAGGUGAUGGGAGUCAAAAACUUUAUCGUCACCGAUGUUUCGUUAACAGAUGAUCUCUCCGUCAUCACCGCUCUCUCUCCAUCAUACAUCUCCGGUACCGUCAUCUCCGUCGUCAACUCUUCAUACAAAUUGAUAUAAUGAAGGAUGGUUGUUAGUUGUGAUAGUUCGAAUAAUUCGUUACCAACGGUUCUCUCGAAGCGGAAGAGGCCUGCGAGGAUUCAGAUUCCGUUUGCGCCGUUGAGUUUUGUGGAUGAGGUGGUUAAGCCGGUUGAUGAUGUGGCAGAGAUUGAUGAUGAAGGUGAGGAGUAUUCUGUGUAUUGUAAAAGAGGAAAAUGAGGCGCUAUGGAGGAUCGGUACUCGGUUGUUGUUGAUCUUCAAGGCGAUUGUAAACAGGCUUUCUUUGGAGUUUUUGAUGGCCAUUGAGGCGCAAAGGCGGCAGAUUUUUCAGCAUUAAAAACCAACAUUCUUUACUGCUCAGAUAUGG